AGAGCUGACUCGUGGACAUUCUCAUUUCAGGUGCAGCUCAGUUGCCAUGAUGCUCCUUGAGUCAAUGAGCUCUUUGGUCUGCUCUUCUGCUCAAGCAGAAAAUGAUCUGCGCUUCACCCUUGAGAAGCUGACGAGAACCACAGGCUUCUUCAGGCAGGUGGUGGAACAUGGGUGUAUCCUGCAGGUGCUCACAGUAUCUCCCUUUGCUCAGGCUCUAGCCUGAUUUUCUGGCUCAUAAGGCCAAAGGGAGCUGGAAAGGUCCCCACGGCAGGACUCAUGGUGGAGAGAGAAUGGUCUAGAGGAUUCAGGCCUCUGCACACUGUGUCUGGGUCCCUCCUUAAACAAUGAUAAAGACAAGUAAAGAGCUUGAAGCAGCCUGGAGUCCAGCCAGAAACCUUUAACUGAGCUUUAAAGGAGAUGGUCACAACACUUUUCAGAAUACUGGCAAAGGCCUCCUGUGGCCAGGUUUGUCCUGGGAUGAGCAAAAUUUAAUGUUAACCUGCUGUAUCUUUGCUUUUAAUAUAUCUGCUUGCCCAUCACAAUGACGUUAUGGUUAAUUUCACCAAUUUGGUAACCUGCCUCAUGGGAAGUACGAAAGUAAGCAAGGGCCAGGUGUGGUGACUCACGCCUGUAAUCCCAGUACUUUGGGUGGCUGAGGCAGGUGGAUUGCUUGAGCCCAGGAGUUCAAGACCAACCUGGGCACCAUGACAAAACCCCGUCUCUAAAAAAUAUAUA
Molecule: long non-coding RNA, 735 nt
Filed under: Pan troglodytes (chimpanzee)
Lineage: Eukaryota; Metazoa; Chordata; Mammalia; Primates; Hominidae
Description: long non-coding RNA NONPTRT002279
Source: RNAcentral